AGCGUACACGGUGGAUGCCCUGGCAGUCAGAGGCGAUGAAGGACGUGCUAAUCUGCGAUAAGCGUCGGUGAGGUGAUAUGAACCGUUAUAACCGGCGAUUUCCGAAUGGGGAAACCCAGUGUGUUUCGACACACUAUCAUUAACUGAAUCCAUAGGUUAAUGAGGCGAACCGGGGGAACUGAAACAUCUAAGUACCCCGAGGAAAAGAAAUCAACCGAGAUUCCCCCAGUAGCGGCGAGCGAACGGGGAGGAGCCCAGAGCCUGAAUCAGUGUGUGUGUUAGUGGAAGCGUCUGGAAAGGCGUGCGAUACAGGGUGACAGCCCCGUACACAAAAAUGCACAUAUUGUGAGCUCGAUGAGUAGGGCGGGACACGUGGUAUCCUGUCUGAAUAUGGGGGGACCAUCCUCCAAGGCUAAAUACUCCUGACUGACCGAUAGUGAACCAGUACCGUGAGGGAAAGGCGAAAAGAACCCCGGCGAGGGGAGUGAAAAAGAACCUGAAACCGUGUACGUACAAGCAGUGGGAGCCUCUUAAUGGGGUGACUGCGUACCUUUUGUAUAAUGGGUCAGCGACUUAUAUUCUGUAGCAAGGUUAACCGAAUAGGGGAGCCGAAGGGAAAAGGGGGGGGUUCCCCCGAGUCUUAACUGGGCGUUAAGUUGCAGGGUAUAGACCCGAAACCCGGUGAUCUAGCCAUGGGCAGGUUGAAGGUUGGGUAACACUAACUGGAGGACCGAACCGACUAAUGUUGAAAAAUUAGCGGAUGACUUGUGGCUGGGGGUGAAAGGCCAAUCAAACCGGGAGAUAGCUGGUUCUCCCCGAAAGCUAUUUAGGUAGCGCCUCGUGAAUUCAUCUCCGGGGGUAGAGCACUGUUUCGGCAAGGGGGUCAUCCCGACUUACCAACCCGAUGCAAACUGCGAAUACCGGAGAAUGUUAUCACGGGAGACACACGGCGGGUGCUAACGUCCGUCGUGAAGAGGGAAACAACCCAGACCGCCAGCUAAGGUCCCAAAGUCAUGGUUAAGUGGGAAACGAUGUGGGAAGGCCCAGACAGCCAGGAUGUUGGCUUAGAAGCAGCCAUCAUUUAAAGAAAGCGUAAUAGCUCACUGGUCGAGUCGGCCUGCGCGGAAGAUGUAACGGGGCUAAACCAUGCACCGAAGCUGCGGCAGCGACACUAUGUGUUGUUGGGUAGGGGAGCGUUCUGUAAGCCUGUGAAGGUGGCCUGUGAGGGUUGCUGGAGGUAUCAGAAGUGCGAAUGCUGACAUAAGUAACGAUAAAGCGGGUGAAAAGCCCGCUCGCCGGAAGACCAAGGGUUCCUGUCCAACGUUAAUCGGGGCAGGGUGAGUCGACCCCUAAGGCGAGGCCGAAAGGCGUAGUCGAUGGGAAACAGGUUAAUAUUCCUGUACUUGGUGUUACUGCGAAGGGGGGACGGAGAAGGCUAUGUUGGCCGGGCGACGGUUGUCCCGGUUUAAGCGUGUAGGCUGGUUUUCCAGGCAAAUCCGGAAAACCAAGGCUGAGGCGUGAUGACGAGGCACUACGGUGCUGAAGCGACAAAUGCCCUGCUUCCAGGAAAAGCCCUGCUUCCAGGAAAAGCCUCUAAGCAUCAGGUAACAUCAAAUCGUACCCCAAACCGACACAGGUGGUCAGGUAGAGAAUACCAAGGCGCUUGAGAGAACUCGGGUGAAGGAACUAGGCAAAAUGGUGCCGUAACUUCGGGAGAAGGCACGCUGAUAUGUAGGUGAAGCGACUUGCUCGUGGAGCUGAAAUCAGUCGAAGAUACCAGCUGGCUGCAACUGUUUAUUAAAAACACAGCACUGUGCAAACACGAAAGUGGACGUAUACGGUGUGACGAGGGGGCUGCCCGGUGCCGGAAGGUUAAUUGAUGGGGUUAGCGGCAACGCGAAGCUCUUGAUCGAAGCCCCGGUAAACGGCGGCCGUAACUAUAACGGUCCUAAGGUAGCGAAAUUCCUUGUCGGGUAAGUUCCGACCUGCACGAAUGGCGUAAUGAUGGCCAGGCUGUCUCCACCCGAGACUCAGUGAAAUUGAACUCGCUGUGAAGAUGCAGUGUACCCGCGGCAAGACGGAAAGACCCCGUGAACCUUUACUAUAGCUUGACACUGAACAUUGAGCCUUGAUGUGUAGGAUAGGUGGGAGGCUUUGAAGUGUGGACGCCAGUCUGCAUGGAGCCGACCUUGAAAUACCACCCUUUAAUGUUUGAUGUUCUAACGUUGGCCCGUAAUCCGGGUUGCGGACAGUGUCUGGUGGGUAGUUUGACUGGGGCGGUCUCCUCCUAAAGAGUAACGGAGGAGCACGAAGGUUGGCUAAUCCUGGUCGGACAUCAGGAGGUUAGUGCAAUGGCAUAAGCCAGCUUGACUGCGAGCGUGACGGCGCGAGCAGGUGCGAAAGCAGGUCAUAGUGAUCCGGUGGUUCUGAAUGGAAGGGCCAUCGCUCAACGGAUAAAAGGUACUCCGGGGAUAACAGGCUGAUACCGCCCAAGAGUUCAUAUCGACGGCGGUGUUUGGCACCUCGAUGUCGGCUCAUCACAUCCUCGAUGUCGGCUCAUCACAUCCUGGGGCUGAAGUCGAUGUCGGCUCAUCACAUCCUGGGGCUGAAGUAGGUCCCAAGGGUAUGGCUGUUCGCCAAGUAGGUCCCAAGGGUAUGGCUGUUCGCCAUUUAAAGUGGUACGCGAGCUGGGUUUAGAACGUCGUGAGACAGUUCGGUCCCUAUCUGCCGUGGGCGCUGGAGAACUGAGGGGGGCUGCUCCUAGUACGAGAGGACCGGAGUGGACGCAUCACUGGUGUUCGGGUUGUCAUGCCAAUGGCACUGCCCGGUAGCUAAAUGCGGAAGAGAUAAGUGCUGAAAGCAUCUAAGCACGAAACUUGCCCCGAGAUGAGUUCUCCCUGAUCUUCCUGAAGGAACGUUGA
RNAcentral lists this ribosomal RNA (2921 nucleotides) under Escherichia coli TOP550-1. RNAcentral describes it as "bacterial LSU rRNA". It matches the Rfam family "Bacterial large subunit ribosomal RNA". Lineage: Bacteria; Pseudomonadati; Pseudomonadota; Gammaproteobacteria; Enterobacterales; Enterobacteriaceae. The record is from RNAcentral.